This 1491-nucleotide ribosomal RNA is filed under the name metagenome. RNAcentral describes it as "bacterial SSU rRNA". It matches the Rfam family "Bacterial small subunit ribosomal RNA". The record is from RNAcentral.
AGAGUUUGAUCCUGGCUCAGAUUGAACGCUGGCGGCAUGCCUUACACAUGCAAGUCGAACGGCAGCACGAGAGCUUGCUCUUGGUGGCGAGUGGCGAACGGGUGAGUAAUAUAUCGGAACGUACCCUAGAGUGGGGGAUAACGUAGCGAAAGUUACGCUAAUACCGCAUACGAUCUACGGAUGAAAGUGGGGGAUCGCAAGACCUCAUGCUCAUGGAGCGGCCGAUAUCUGAUUAGCUAGUUGGUGGGGUAAAAGCUCACCAAGGCGACGAUCAGUAGCUGGUCUGAGAGGACGACCAGCCACACUGGAACUGAGACACGGUCCAGACUCCUACGGGAGGCAGCAGUGGGGAAUUUUGGACAAUGGGCGCAAGCCUGAUCCAGCAAUGCCGCGUGAGUGAAGAAGGCCUUCGGGUUGUAAAGCUCUUUUGUCAGGGAAGAAACGGUGGACUCUAAUACAGAUCACUAAUGACGGUACCUGAAGAAUAAGCACCGGCUAACUACGUGCCAGCAGCCGCGGUAAUACGUAGGGUGCAAGCGUUAAUCGGAAUUACUGGGCGUAAAGCGUGCGCAGGCGGUUGUGCAAGACAGAUGUGAAAUCCCCGGGCUCAACCUGGGAAUUGCAUUUGUGACUGCACGGCUAGAGUGUGUCAGAGGGGGGUAGAAUUCCACGUGUAGCAGUGAAAUGCGUAGAGAUGUGGAGGAAUACCGAUGGCGAAGGCAGCCCCCUGGGAUAACACUGACGCUCAUGCACGAAAGCGUGGGGAGCAAACAGGAUUAGAUACCCUGGUAGUCCACGCCCUAAACGAUGUCUACUAGUUGUCGGGUCUUAAUUGACUUGGUAACGCAGCUAACGCGUGAAGUAGACCGCCUGGGGAGUACGGUCGCAGGAUUAAAACUCAAAGGAAUUGACGGGGACCCGCACAAGCGGUGGAUGAUGUGGAUUAAUUCGAUGCAACGCGAAAAACCUUACCUACCCUUGACAUGUCUGGAAUCCUUGAGAGAUCAGGGAGUGCUCGAAAGAGAAUCAGAACACAGGUGCUGCAUGGCUGUCGUCAGCUCGUGUCGUGAGAUGUUGGGUUAAGUCCCGCAACGAGCGCAACCCUUGUCAUUAGUUGCUACGAAAGGGCACUCUAAUGAGACUGCCGGUGACAAACCGGAGGAAGGUGGGGAUGACGUCAAGUCCUCAUGGCCCUUAUGGGUAGGGCUUCACACGUCAUACAAUGGUACAUACAGAGGGCCGCCAACCCGCGAGGGGGAGCUAAUCCCAGAAAGUGUAUCGUAGUCCGGAUUGUAGUCUGCAACUCGACUACAUGAAGUUGGAAUCGCUAGUAAUCGCGGAUCAGCAUGUCGCGGUGAAUACGUUCCCGGGUCUUGUACACACCGCCCGUCACACCAUGGGAGCGGGUUUCACCAGAAGUGGGUAGCCUAACCGCAAGGAGGGCGCUCACCACGGUGGGAUUCGUGACUGGGGUGAAGUCGUAACAAGGUA